UGGGGGUGGGUGGGUGGGGGUGACUAUUUAAUCAGCUCUGUUUCUCCACGCUGGGGAGGAAAGUGGUGGCCUUUCUGCGUGUCGGCCUAUGUGGCACUUUCGGUGUUUAGGUCUGGUUGCUGGGAGCCAUGAUUUGAUUCUCUGCCUUGCUGGAAGAGCCUGCAGCUCCACGAGGGAAAUGGUUUAUUUUAAGGGCCAGCCUUCCAGAGAAAAAGAGAGGGUCAUGCUUUAUUCAUCAGGGUUCCCCAAGGCUGGAGAAUGAGCUUAAAGAUGGUACCCGUGAGUGCAGAUGCAGUGAGCUAACAUACGUGUGCAGAGAGUUGAUGCCCCCUUCAUGGAAGGGGCCAGGCUAAGUGAACAUCGUCGCUGUUAGGGUUACGUCUGGACGCUCUCCUAAGUGAGGCUUUAGAGAGGUGACUGUGUCUGGGGUGUCAUGAGUCCACUGAUGAGUUGACAACUAAAUGUGAUCUUGGGAAGUGAAGCCUGGUUGGAGGAGAUGGGCCAAUGGGGACGUGACCCGGGAGGGUUGCUCUCCCUCCUCUCCCCUUGGUGGCUCUCUGCUUCCGGCCUUUCCUUCCUGCUCUCCUCCACCAGGCCCCUCUGCCAUGCCGCCCUGCCGUGGAGCCAGCUGACCAUGCCCAGAAACCGCCACAAACUAUCCGCCAAAAUAAGCCUCGCGCCCGUUAGGUCAUAGGGGUUGGGUAUUGUGUCCCAGAGACAGGAAAGUGACAAAGACAAUCACUGGUGAGCAUGCUGUGAGCCAGAUGGAGUGGUUGUAGAGUGGGGAGUGGGAAUCCAAGUCACCCCUCUGGCAGCAGCUGGUAGCACUGAUUGCCAGAGGGAGCCAAGUUUGGGGGCGAAACACCUUGAUGGGGCACAAUCAAGAUACUUGAUGAAGCCAAAGAGGACCACGGAGCUCUACUGUUUAGUCGCCACUGGAUUCCACACAAACCCCUGCCGCCUCCCUCCGUCACCUUUUCAAGCAAGGCUCCCUUGGCACGAACAUGGAGAUGAUGUCUGGAGACGCAGCAGCCAUCUUGCAGACUUGAGAACAAUAACUAUUGACUACUGGAUGGUGGAGAAAGAAAGUAGAACUGGGACCUGAGGUGGCAUUGGUAAAGGGGUGGGGUUUUUUCUUGUUGAGUGAGAAAUGUGUUUAAGUUGUUAAAUUGUGUUUUCAUGGCCAAAUAUAAUCUUAUUGGCUACACAGCCAUUAGCACCAA
Long non-coding RNA from Cavia porcellus (domestic guinea pig), 1223 nucleotides. RefSeq lists it as uncharacterized. NCBI's taxonomy places the organism in Eukaryota, Metazoa, Chordata, Mammalia, Rodentia, Caviidae. The record is from RefSeq and is a predicted model, not a curated record. The transcript has 2 exons.